GACGAACGCUGGCGGCGUGCCUAAAACAUGCAAGUCGAACGAGGCCUUCGGGUCUAGUGGCGAACGGCGGAGUAAUACAUGAACAACGUGCCCCUAAGUCUGGGACAAACGCAGAAAUGUUAUAAAUACCAGAUGUGGCCGGAGAAGGACAUCCUUUCCGAUUAAAGGUUUUUCGCUUAGGGAGCGGUUCAUGGCCUAUCAGCUAGUUGGUGGGUAACGGCCUACCAAGGCGACGACGGGUAGGGGUCUAAGAGGAUGAUCCCCCCGAGUGGGACUGAGACACGGCCCACACACCUACGGGUGGCAGCAGUUGGGAAUCUUGCACAAUGGGGGAAACCCUGAUGCAGCGACGCCGCGUGGAGGAUGACGGAUCUAGGUCUGUAAACUCCUUUUUCAGGGAAAGACUUAGGACGGUACCCUGAGAAUAAGGACCGGCUAACUACGUGCCAGCAGCCGCGGUAAU
RNAcentral lists this ribosomal RNA (463 nucleotides) under uncultured bacterium. RNAcentral describes it as "bacterial SSU rRNA". It matches the Rfam family "Bacterial small subunit ribosomal RNA", at positions 28 to 524 of the family's 1533-position model. The record is from RNAcentral.